Long non-coding RNA from Marmota monax (woodchuck), 1648 nucleotides. RefSeq lists it as uncharacterized. The record is from RefSeq and is a predicted model, not a curated record. The transcript is spliced from 2 exons. Lineage: Eukaryota; Metazoa; Chordata; Mammalia; Rodentia; Sciuridae.
UGGAAAGGUCCUGACCCAGUGAUUGUCUGGAGUCGGGGUUUUGUUUGUGUGUUUCCACAGGGAGAACAGCCGAUUUGGAUUCCAGAGAGAUUAACUAAAACAGUUUCUACAGAUCGAAAAGAAGAUGAUUUGACUCAAAUCCAUAACAGCUGAUAUCCAGAACUCCAGCUUGGCCAUUCUUACAUCUGCGACAGUGAUUAACCAGGAUGCUUUUUUCAAUAGCUAUUUUAUUAUUGCAUUUUUCCACAUCAUAAGGUUCUAUUUUUAUUUUUUGAGCUCAUACAAACCUAGGUUAAUGUUUUUCUGAUCAGUUUUAUUUUUUGACUGUGGAGUUUUUAAACAUUGCAAUGGAGAUUUCACCCAGGAUAAUGUCUCUUUAGCAUCAUUGCCAGAAUUCCUAUCUCCAUCCCAGUGCCGGUGAAGAACUCAACAAGUAAUGCUCAAUCAAAGAGUCAACUUACUUUGGGGAGGAAACGGAUUUUGGGAGGAAAUGGACAUAUUGAUAGAUUCCUCUGCUUUGAACUGCUUGCAGAACUUGCCUGGACUAUGUAACUAUCGUUUGGUGCAGCGAAUUGUGGUAAUGCUGGCAUAUCUUUGCUGAUGGUGUCACUAGUGAUGCAAUUUUUAUUUCCUUGCCAGCGCACCCCAUGUUAAUUGUGGUAGUGCUGACAUAUCUUUGCUGAUGGUGUCACCAGUGAUGCAAUUUUUCCCAAGGAGCCGUCAAUUGGCUUGGUGUCGUUGCAUUUCUGUAUCCUCCUCCCUUCUGCUAGUGAUGGUCUAAAAUUUGGGGGCCAAUGGCUUAUGCUGGACCGGUAGUCAGUGAUGGGUAUGAUCCAAUUGCAGUGGUAUCAACCUAAGACAGGAGGCUGACGCCUAAAGGUCAGUUUUCCGAUGACGGGUAAGAACCAUAUGUUGAAUUGGACAACCUACCAGGCACGGUCCAUAAGCCACAUUAACCUCACUCCCCCACUGGCACCAAGGCCAAAUUUGGGGGCCAACAGAGGUGAGGCAAAGAACCUCACCCCCCCACUGGUGCAUAGACCUAUCCACAAGUAUGGCUGUAUGCUGGACCGGUAGUCAGUGACGGGUAUGAUUCAAUUGCAGUGGUAUCAACCUAAGACAGGAGGCUGACGCCUAAAGGUCAGUUUUUCCCAUGACGGGUAAGAACCAUAUGUUGAAUUGGACAACCUACCAGGCACGGUCCUUAAGCCACAUUGCUUGUUGUUUAAUUAAUCAGAAGGGGGGAGAUGCUGGGAGCCAUUAGCCAAGUAGGUAUGACAAUUUCCUUGCCAGCGUACCCCAUGUUGCUGACAUGUUGCAGUGACAUUGAAUGUAAGUGACCUUGCUCAAGGACCAAGGCAGAUUAGGGUGUUCCCGGUUUUAAGAUAAUCGUGUUUAGGGCGUUCCCGGUUUAGGUUCCAGGUUUAAGGUUUAAGAUUAUUCCUGCUGGGAAUAGGGCGUAUCCUGCUGCCUGAGUUCCCCUUGAGUUCUCAUGGGAUUCAGACAAUAUAUUUUGGAGAUAGAAGCCCAGUGGAGGUGAAUUUGGGAGAGAAGGUGGAUUUGGGAAGAGAACGUGGAUUUCCCCAGAACGUGAUUGUAGACGGCUGGUGUGAGUUCGGGAAUAAAGAGUUGCUGUUUGAAUCUACAA